This 253-nucleotide ribosomal RNA is filed under the name uncultured bacterium. RNAcentral's name for it is "partial 16S ribosomal RNA". It matches the Rfam family "Bacterial small subunit ribosomal RNA", at positions 524 to 776 of the family's 1533-position model. The record is from RNAcentral.
UACGUAGGGGGCAAGCGUUGUCCGGAAUCAUUGGGCGUAAAGCGCGCGUAGGCGGCCCGGUAAGUCCGCUGUAAAAGUCCAGGGCUCAACCCUGGAAAGCCGGUGGAUACUGUCGGGCUAGAGUCCGGAAGAGGCGAGUGGAAUUCCUGGUGUAGCGGUGGAAUGCGCAGAUAUCAGGAGGAACACCAAUGGCGAAGGCAGCUCGCUGGGACGUUACUGACGCUGAGACGCGGAAGCGUGGGGAGCAAACAGG